GAUGAAGAACGCAGUGAAAUGCGAUAAUUAAUGUGAAUUGCAGAAUUCCGUGAAUCAUCGAGUCUUUGAACGCACAUUGCGCCUCAUGGCAUUCCGUGAGGCAUGCCCAUCUCAGCGUUAGAAAAUAUUCUCAAAUUUUAGUUUUGUGCUAAAAUUUGGAUCAUGUCAAGGAAGCUAUUACUAUUAUUGUGAUCGCUCUUUGGAAAUUGAUAGGUCUUUGAGUUGCUACUCAUAGAACGUGAUGAAUCUUUCUUCGUUCUAUUGUAAUUCACUCUGGUAGUCCUAAAACUUGUAUGCCUGUGGCAUAUCUUGUAAUUUGACCUGAGAUUGGGUAGGGAUACCCGCUGAACUUAAGCAUAUCAAUAACGGAGGA
Molecule: unclassified non-coding RNA, 373 nt
Filed under: soil metagenome
Description: partial contains internal transcribed spacer 2 and large subunit ribosomal RNA
Rfam family: 5.8S ribosomal RNA (bases 1-120)
Source: RNAcentral